UUAGGAUUACCAGGAGACACCAGGUGCUGCAGCAGCUUCGGGAUAACUUGAGGAUGCCUCCUGGGGAAGAGACACCUCUUGUCCAUGGCGCUGACUACUGAGGACAGCUUCGGUGUGGCUUUUCUGUGGCCGGCUUCUUUGAGGCCUUUUUCUUUCAUGGAUGGUAGAGAGCAGUCUACAGCCUGAGACCCAUCACAAGGUUCCUUGUGAGACACCUGGGGGACUCCAAACAGCCGGAAUCCAUCUGCCCACUGGUCCGGAGACAGGGAUCCUCAGCCUCCUUCCAGGGUUGAUGGCCCAGGAGGCCUUCUCUGCAGGGGACCAGGACACAGGAAAGCCAGGAAGAGAUGAGCUGGGAAGGGAGCUGUUGGGGGCCAUUCUGGUUUUAAAAAUAAAGCAGGACUUUCGUUGCUUGUUAUAAAAGGAACACAUGCUCAUUUUCUGUGAUUUAGGAAAGCACAGAAAAGUAUAAGGGAAAGAAGAAUGUGGCCGUUGCCUAGCAUCAGGGAAAAAAGGGCUGUAGUUUUUAGUGUCUGCCUAGACUGUAAAGUUCUAAACUCUGAAACUUGUACAACCCAUUGUUUAAUGGUUGUCUAAUACUCCAUCACAUGAGCACAUCAUGCCCUGGUUACCUGACCCUUACUGGCUGGAGAGGUGUGGUGUUCCUAAUUUUUGCUAUUUUAAAUAACCAUGGGAGGAACCACAUUAACAUGAAUCUUUGGGUGCAUUUGUGCUUUCUGCCUAAAAUAGAUUUGUCCAUGUGGAAUUACUGGCCUGAAGGGUGCAAAUCUUUUUAAAGCUUUUGAUACAUACUGCUGGGGUUUAGCAACACCUUCCCAAGUUAGUCUCCUGACUAGAAGGGAAAGAGUGCCUGCCCUGCGGCCCCACCUGCAUGAUGAAUUUGUAUUAUUAAAAGAUAAGCCUUGCCAGAGGGACAUUU
Molecule: long non-coding RNA, 940 nt
Filed under: Pan troglodytes (chimpanzee)
Lineage: Eukaryota; Metazoa; Chordata; Mammalia; Primates; Hominidae
Description: long non-coding RNA NONPTRT004408
Source: RNAcentral